Molecule: long non-coding RNA, 1673 nt
Organism: Bos indicus x Bos taurus (hybrid cattle)
Lineage: Eukaryota; Metazoa; Chordata; Mammalia; Artiodactyla; Bovidae
Source: Ensembl
AUACUAUCUCACAGAGCUGGUAGGGGUGGGUAAUAACAGGAAAGCACUAACCCAUAGCUUGGAGCAAGGCAGGUGCUGUGAGAAUAUAUUGUAACAGCCCCUCAGCCCUCCAGCGAAGCCCUUCAUCCUGGGUAACACAAGGCUUUGCUCGCCUCAGCCAGUCUGGUCUGCCUUGCGCGCUAGACUGUGAACUCCUCUUGGCAGAACCUCGUUCAAUUUUUAAUCACUGCCCAUUCCCCUCCCCAGUGUCUAGCCCGAGCUUGGGCGCAUAGGCUCGAUUUAAAUUUAACAAACAAACGAGUGAGGGUAUGAGUCGGACCCCCAAAUUCCGAGAGGCACAGAGCUUGACUGCCAUCAGCAAGGGCACGACCCUUUCCCCUGGGAUCCAGAAGGCGGAGGCGGCGGAGGCGGCGGCGGCGGCAGCAGCGAGGAAAGAGGCGCUGCAGCUUUAAGAUUUCUCUUGGGCGUCCCGGUUGCCAAGGCGCGGUUGCCAGGGGCCUGCGCAGGGCUGCGUCCGGCCUCCGCGCGCCGACUCCCGGCUUUCGUCUUCUUCGCCGCCACCGCCGCCGCUGCCGCCGCCGCCGCCGCCGGGCCGCGCAGGACUCGGCUCCUCCGAACCGUCUGGCGGACUUGGCACCGGCCCCGGCUCUUCAGUGCCCCCGCGUGGGGUUAAGACUUCCCUGACAGUAGUCGAUGGCUGAAUGGGAUAAUAUGUUGAUGGCCAGACCGUACUUAAAUUCUCUGGCAAGAAAGAGAAAAGGAGAUGAAGGAGUGGUUUCCCAUCCCUGCUGCUGUGUUGGGUGGAUACCUGCUCUCUCCUUGAAGGAGGUAAGUUUCCCUUGAACCCGUGUCUCUUACAUCCCCUGCAUUGGCAGGCAGGUUCUUUACCACUAGCAGCACCUCAUAUGCUUAAAUCCCUUUUUAAUUGCAAGAAUACCUGGAACAUGCCAACCAGAGCUACUUCCUUGUCAGGGUAGAGGGGCAAAACUUCUCUCCACCUCACUGGCAUGGCAUGGACUCUCUGAGUGGGGCCUCUUUUCUGCAAACCAUGACAGUCUCCCUCUAGUGCCUGGGCCCUGUCCUAUCCAAGGGCCCAAACUGGAAUAUCUCUUACACAAGAACUUGUACUCCAACCUUUAGCUUUCCUCAGCCCUAGGAAAGAGGAGGCUGGUGAAGGAUUGGAGGCCAGUUUUUCCAGACCUGUGGCAGUCUCGUUUGUGAACCUGACCUGAGCCACUCUAGCAAGGCAGUGUCUAUCUCUGGGGGUGUUUCCUUAUCGGUGAGUCCAUUAAUUUAUUCUUCCAGUUCAUAUGUCUUGGGUGACCACACUGCGGCACCCAGCAGGUGGGAGUGUGGGAGUAACACAGACUGGGUGGGAAGAGCUCUAUUCUGAAGCCACUGAUCUGGGGGGAAGACAGACAGACACACACGUCAGCCUCUCCAGUACAAAGGUAAUUACUUCAAGUUUAUAGAACAGUCCACAGUGUCAUGAUGCUUCCCCCAUCCUUCCCAAACACAGCAGAUUCUUGCCCUGGACUCUUCAGCCAAAGGCUGUUUGCUUUCCUUCAAAGGAAAAGUCAGAUCCUGAAAUUUGAGCCUGGUGCUUUUAUUUAUUUUGUUUUAUUGGAAUAAUCCUAUUUCUAUAACAAUCAUGUAUUACUUUCAUAUUCAAG